AGGACGAACGCUGGCGGCGUGCUUAACACAUGCAAGUCGAGCGGAAAGGCCCUUCGGGGUACUCGAGCGGCGAACGGGUGAGUAACACGUGAGCAACCUGCCCUUAGCUCUGGGAUAGCUCCGGGAAACCGGAUUAAUACCGGAUACGACCUAGGCCGACAUCGGCCAUGGUGGAAAGUUUUUCGGCUAGGGAUGGACUCGCGGCCUAUCAGCUAGUUGGUGGGGUAAAGGCCUACCAAGGCGACGACGGGUA
RNAcentral lists this ribosomal RNA (253 nucleotides) under uncultured bacterium. RNAcentral describes it as "partial small subunit ribosomal RNA". It matches the Rfam family "Bacterial small subunit ribosomal RNA", at positions 26 to 285 of the family's 1533-position model. The record is from RNAcentral.